CCUACGUGAGGCAGCAGUGGGGAAUAUUGCACAAUGGGGGAAACCCUGAUGCCGCGACGCCGCGUGAGUGAAGAAGUAUUUCGGUACGUAAAGCUCUAUCAGCAGGGCAGAAAAAAAGCCCUUUGGACUUUGGACGGUACCUGACCAAGAAGCCCCGGCUAACUACGUGCCAGCAGCCGCGGUACUACGUAGGGGGCAAGCGUUAGCCGGAUUUACUGGGUGUAAAGGGAGCGUAGACGGCAGCGCAAGUCGGGAGUGAAAUGCCGGGGCCCAACCCCGGAACUGCUUUGGAAACUGUGCAGCUGGAGUGCAGGAGAGGUUAGCGGAAUUCCAAGUGGAGCGGUGAAAUGCGUAGAUAGUAGGAGGAACACCAGUGGCGAAGGCGACUUACUGGACUGUAACUGACGUUGAGGCGCGAAAGCGUGGGGAGCAAACAGGAUUAGAUACCCGGGUAGUC
RNAcentral lists this ribosomal RNA (457 nucleotides) under uncultured bacterium. RNAcentral describes it as "partial 16S ribosomal RNA". It matches the Rfam family "Bacterial small subunit ribosomal RNA", at positions 338 to 795 of the family's 1533-position model. The record is from RNAcentral.